Molecule: ribosomal RNA, 394 nt
Filed under: Vermamoeba cf. vermiformis
Lineage: Eukaryota; Tubulinea; Echinamoebida; Vermamoebidae
Description: SSU rRNA
Rfam family: Eukaryotic small subunit ribosomal RNA
Source: RNAcentral
GUCAGAGGUGAAAUUCUAGGAUUUACUAAAGACUGACCAAUGCGAAAGCAUUUGCCAAGGAUGUUUUCAUUAAUCAAGAACGAAAGUAGGGGGAUCGAAGACGAUCAGAUACCGUCGUAGUCUCUACCGUAAACUAUGCCGACCAGGGAUCCGGAGAGUUUGCAUGGAUGACUCCCCGGGCACCUUGUGAGAAAUCAUAAGUGUUUGGGUUUUGGGGGGAGUAUGGUCGCAAGGCUGAAACUUAAAGGAAUUGACGGAAGGGCACCACCAGGAGUGGAACCUGCGGCUUAAUUUGACUCAACACGGGGAAACUUACGAGGUCAGGACACUGUGAGGAUUGACAGAUUGAAAGCUCUUUCUUGAUUCAGUGGGUGGUGGUGCAUGGCCGUUCUUA